Molecule: ribosomal RNA, 468 nt
Filed under: uncultured bacterium
Lineage: Bacteria
Description: partial 16S ribosomal RNA
Rfam family: Bacterial small subunit ribosomal RNA
Source: RNAcentral
GACGAACGCUGGCGGCGUGCUUAACACAUGCAAGUCGAACGGAAAGGCCCUGCUUUUGUGGGGUGCUCGAGUGGCGAACAGGUGAGUAACACGUGAGUAACCUGCCCUUGACUUUGGGAUAACUUCAGGAAACUGGGGCUAAUACCGGAUAGGAGCUCCUGCUGCAUGGUGGGGGUUGGAAAUUUUCGGCGGUUGGGGAUGGACUCGCGGCUUAUCAGCUUGUUGGUGGGGUAGUGGCUUACCAAGGCUUUGACGGGUAGCCGGCCUGAGAGGGUGACCGGCCACAUUGGGACUGAGAUACGGCCCAGACUCCUACGGGAGGCAGCAGUGGGGAAUAUUGCACAAUGGGCGGAAGCCUGAUGCAGCAACGCCGCGUGCGGGAUGACGGCCUUCGGGUUGUAAACCGCUUUCGCCUGUGACGAAGCGUGAGUGACGGUAAUGGGUAAAGAAGCACCGGCUAACUACGUG